AUGGUUGCAAGAGAUGUUUUGGCUAUUCCUGCCUCCACAGUUGCAUCUGAAUAUGCUUUUAGCGGAGCAGGACGAGUGGUUGACAAGUAUCGUAGUCGUUUGGACCCUGAAGUUGUUGAGGCUUUGAUCUGUACCAAAGAUUGGAUAAGAGCCUCUAGAAAAGAUAAUAAAUGUGAUGUAGCUUCAAUAAUACAAGAUUUAGCUAUCAUUGAUAUUGCUGGAGAAGGCGAGCAAGGCGAGAACAAUGAAGAUGAUGGUUUACACGAACGAAGUGCUUCUAUCCCUACAGAUGAUCACAACGCCUUGGAGAUAGUUUGA
Molecule: ribosomal RNA, 318 nt
Filed under: Triticum aestivum (bread wheat)
Lineage: Eukaryota; Viridiplantae; Streptophyta; Magnoliopsida; Poales; Poaceae
Description: partial small subunit ribosomal RNA
Source: RNAcentral